GUAGGUGGCAAGCGUUGUCCGGAAUUAUUGGGCGUAAAGCGCGCGCAGGCGGUUCUUUAAGUCUGAUGUGAAAGCCCACGGCUCAACCGUGGAGGGUCAUUGGAAACUGGAGAACUUGAGUACAGAAGAGGAAAGCGGAAUUCCACGUGUAGCGGUGAAAUGCGUAGAGAUGUGGAGGAACACCAGUGGCGAAGGCGGCUUUCUGGUCUGUAACUGACGCUGAGGCGCGAAAGCGUGGGAGCAAACAGGAUUGGAUACCCUGGUAGUCCACGCCGUAAACGAUGAGUGCUAAGUGUUAGGGGGUUUCCGCCCCCCUUAGUGCUGCAGCUAACGCAUUAAGCACUCGCCUGGGAGUACGGCCGCAAGGCUGA
RNAcentral lists this ribosomal RNA (371 nucleotides) under uncultured organism. RNAcentral describes it as "partial 16S ribosomal RNA". It matches the Rfam family "Bacterial small subunit ribosomal RNA", at positions 527 to 897 of the family's 1533-position model. The record is from RNAcentral.